CGUGCCUAAUACAUGCAAGUCGAACGGUCUUUCUAUGGAAGCUUGCUUCACUGAGAAGAUAGUGGCGAACGGGUGAGUAACACGUGGGUAACCUGCCCAUAAGAGGGGGAUAACAUCCGGAAACGGGUGCUAAUACCGCAUAGUUUUCUUGAUCGCAUGAUCGGGAAAGGAAAGACGGCCUUUGUGCUGUCGCUUAUGGAUGGACCCGCGGCGUAUUAGUUAGUUGGUGAGGUAACGGCUCACCAAGACGAUGAUACGUAGCCGACCUGAGAGGGUGAUCGGCCACAUUGGGACUGAGACACGGCCCAAACUCCUACGGGAGGCAGCAGUAGGGAAUCUUCCGCAAUGGACGAAAGUCUGACGGAGCAACGCCGCGUGAGUGAAGAAAAGGGUUUUCGGAUCGUAAAACUCUGUUGUCAGAGAAGAACAAGUUGGAGAGUAACUGCUCCAGCCUUGACGGUAUCUGACCAGAAAGCCACGGCUAACUACGUGCCAGCAGCCGC
RNAcentral lists this ribosomal RNA (503 nucleotides) under uncultured bacterium. RNAcentral's name for it is "bacterial SSU rRNA". It matches the Rfam family "Bacterial small subunit ribosomal RNA", at positions 43 to 518 of the family's 1533-position model. The record is from RNAcentral.